UACGUAGGUCCCGAGCGUUGUCCGGAUUUAUUGGGCGUAAAGCGAGCGCAGGUGGUUUAUUAAGUCUGGUGUAAAAGGCAUUGGCUCAACCAUUGUAUGCAUUGGAAACUGGUAGACUUGAGUGCAGGAGAGGAGAGUGGAAUUCCAUGUGUAGCGGCGAAAUGCGUAGAUAUAUGGAGGAACACCGGUGGCGAAAGCGGCUCUCUGGCCUGUAACUGACACUGAGGCUCGAAAGCGUGGGGAGCAAACAGG
Molecule: ribosomal RNA, 252 nt
Filed under: uncultured bacterium
Lineage: Bacteria
Description: partial 16S ribosomal RNA
Rfam family: Bacterial small subunit ribosomal RNA
Source: RNAcentral